UUUUUAAAUUGCUGUAGUAUUUUGACUAUACAAAGGUAUUGAAAUAAGAUUUUAAUUGAAUGCUAAGAGAAUGGAAGUCCAGAAAAAAACUUUUUUUAAAUUAAAAAUUGAAGUUUUUUUAAUUUGUGCAGAAACAAUUAUUUAUAUUAAAGACAAGAAGACCCUAUGAAUUUAUUAAAUUUUUAUUUAAUAUGUAAUUACUAUUAGAAAAAUUUUGGCUGGGGCGGCUAGAAAAUAUUAUGAACUUUUUAAAAAUAAAAUGAUCCAUUAUUAAUGAUUUUAUGUUAAAUACUCUAGGGAUAACAGCGUAAA
RNAcentral lists this ribosomal RNA (312 nucleotides) under Rhipicephalus sanguineus (brown dog tick). Its description in RNAcentral is "partial 16S ribosomal RNA". The record is from RNAcentral. Lineage: Eukaryota; Metazoa; Arthropoda; Arachnida; Ixodida; Ixodidae.